GAAAUGCGAUACGUAAUGUGAAUUGCAGAAUUCAGUGAAUCAUCGAAUCUUUGAACGCAUAUUGCGCCUUUUGGUAUUCCGAAAGGCAUGCUUGUUUGAGUAUCAGUAACAACCUCAGCCCCAAAGAGCUGGAUUUGAGCAAAUAAUCCCUUAAUCAAACUCUUGAUGCGGGGGAUGCUUGAAAUAAUGGUUCAGGCCCCGGACGAUUGUGGCUACAAGCAUUUCAUACUUAAUCCCGUCGAACGGAUUAUAUCCUUUGCUGAAGCCAACAAAAAGCAAUCACCUCGGUGGACUGACUGAUGCAGGAAAGACGCGUCUUUUUUGGGUUGGUUAGAUUUCGAUCUGAUGAACACGAAAAGACCAAACAAACCUCGAUCUCAAAUCAAGUAAGACUACCCGC
RNAcentral lists this unclassified non-coding RNA (400 nucleotides) under uncultured fungus. Its description in RNAcentral is "sequence contains ITS1". The stretch from base 1 to 105 matches the Rfam family "5.8S ribosomal RNA", at positions 50 to 154 of the family's 154-position model. Lineage: Eukaryota; Fungi. The record is from RNAcentral.